AUUUGACACAAUGAAACACAAAUUUGAACCUGAUGAAUGCUUCAAGGUUGACAUAAUUGACGAACAAGUUAAAAAGAAAUUUCAUAAGAAACAUCCUAAAGAUGCUCUUGAAGCAUGUAUUGUGCAUAGCCAUAUAGUGGAUGAUGAAAAUACAGAAAUAGCAGCCUGUACACAACAGUUAGCAGCUCAUCCACCCCUACCCUUAGCUAAGGCAUCCGAGAUGGAGAAGUUGAAGGAGGAACAAACCAAAGGUAAGCUCCAGGAAGACGCCAAAUAGGUAGAGCUUAAACCUCUCCCCUCCUCACUAAGGUACGCAUUUCUGAACUUAAAUUCUAAACAUAAGUUAGAAGAGGAAAAAUUGUUAAGAGAACUUAGGAUCCAUAGCAAAGCCAUAGGAUAUAAAAUAGAAGACCUGAAGAGAAUUAACCCUUCGAUUUGUAUGCAUAGGAUACCUAUGGAAGAAAACAGUAAACCCACAAUCAAACGCCAAAGAAGACUUAACCCAAACAUGAAAGAAGUGGUCAAGAAAGAAAUUUUAAAACUAUUAGAUGCAGGUAUCAUAUACCCAAUUUCUGAUAGUAAAUGGGUUAGUCCCGUUCAUGUAGUUCCUAAGAAAGGUGGGACAACUGUUAUCCAAAAUACAAACAAUGAACUAAUCCCUACUAGAGUAGUCACUGGAUGGCGAAUGUGCAUAGAUUAUAGGAAAUUGAACAGUGCUACUAGAAAAGACCAUUUCCCUCUUUCCUUCAUCGACCAAAUGUUAUAAAGGUUAGCAAAACACUCUUAUUUCUGUUAUCUAGAUAGGUAUUCGGGAUUCUUUCAAAUUCCUAUUCACCCAGAAGACCAAGAAAAGACAAUAGUCACUUAUCCCUAUGGAACAUUUGCAUAUAGGAGAAUGCCUUUUGGUCUUUGUAAUGCCCCUACAACCUUUCAAAGAUGCAUGAUGGCUAUCUUUUCUGAUUAUAUUGAAUUGAAAAUAUCAUGGAAGUUUUUAUGGAUGAUUUUUCUGUCUAUGGAAUUACUUUUGAUGAUUGCCUAGCUAAUUUAUCUAAGGUGUUGCAAAGAUGUGAGGAAUCAAACCUGGUCCUAAAUUGGGAAAAAUGAAAAAUGCCACUUCAUGGUAAGGGAAGCCAUAGUUCUGGGACAUUUGAUAUCAGAAAGAGGAAUUGAAGUUGAUAAGGCAAAAAUUGAGAUCAUUGAAAAUAUGCCACCCCUAACAUCAGUCAAGGGAGUGUGAAGCUUUUUAGGACAUGCAGAAUUCUACAGAAGAUUCAUUAUGGACUUUUCCAAAAUAUCUAAGCCACUGAACAACUUAUUAAGUCAAGAUGUUCCCUUUGAUUUUGAUGAAAAAUGCCUUGUCUUCUUUAACAGAAUCAAAGAAGCCCUGAUAUCAGCACUAAUAAUGCAGCUACCAAAUUAGGAGCUACCAUUUGAGGUGAUGUGCGACGCGAUUGACU
Molecule: unclassified non-coding RNA, 1457 nt
Filed under: Hevea brasiliensis (rubber tree)
Lineage: Eukaryota; Viridiplantae; Streptophyta; Magnoliopsida; Malpighiales; Euphorbiaceae
Source: RNAcentral